This 491-nucleotide transfer-messenger RNA is filed under the name Candidatus Omnitrophota bacterium. It matches the Rfam family "transfer-messenger RNA". From Rfam's summary of the family: Bacterial tmRNA, also known as 10Sa RNA or SsrA, is named for its dual tRNA and mRNA-like properties. Its role is to liberate the mRNA from a stalled ribosome. Lineage: Bacteria; Pseudomonadati; Candidatus Omnitrophota. The record is from RNAcentral.
GGGGGUGAAUAGGCUCGACUUAGGCACGUCGGGUAAGAGCAGCAUGCCGCGGACGCAUGGUUUGCCGCGUUAUCAACCCGUGCACAAUCUAAACGCAAACGACGUAAGUCGCACAAUGGCGACAGAGAGGUAUAACGCAGUACCUGCGUUUGCCUUUCCUGUUAUGCCAGCGUUAAGCCUCGUUCCUUAAAGGUAACGAGCCUCAAUCCGGCCUGCCUAAGGGUUGGAAUUGAGCGGCUAAUUUAGGCUGGUUCCGGCGGGGUAGCCUUUAGCGCCGGGGCAAGAGGCAGUAAAAGGCUGCGCCCUUAAAAAUUCUGUCUGCCGAAGUUUUAAGGGCCAAGAUAAAAGACAGACUAAGCCCUCCUGCGCCUGCAUGGGCUUCGGAGGGUCCGCCGAAGCUGAGCACGAAAGUGCAUCAGCGUAGGCGGACAUGUAGCGGCUUUUAUCAGUCUGCUUAGGGACGGCGGUUGCGAUACCGCCCACCUCCACCA